CGCAAGUCGAACGAAGUAGCAAUACUUAGUGGCAGACGGGUGAGUAACAUGUAGGUAUCUUCCCUUUGGUGAGGAAUAACACGAGGAAACUUGUGCUAAUACCUCAUAAGUCUUUACGGAGAAAGCUUUAUGCGCCAUUGGAUGAGCCUGCACUUGAUUAGUUUGUUGGUGGGGUAAUAGCCUACCAAGACUAUGAUCAAUAGCUGAUUUGAGAGGAUGAUCAGCCACAUUGGGACUGAGACACGGCCCAAACUUCUACGGGAGGCAGCAGUAGGGAAUCUUGCACAAUGGGGGAAACCCUGAUGCAGCGAUGCCGCGUGAGUGAAGAAGGCCUUUGGGUUGUAAAGCUCUUUCGUCGGGGAAGAAAAUGACUGUACCCGAAUAAGAAGGUCCGGCUAACUUCGUGCCAGCAGCCGCGGUAAUACGAAGGGACCUAGCGUAGUUCGGAAUUACUGGGCUUAAAGAGUCCGUAGGCGGUUAAAAAAGUUGGUGGUGAAAUCCCAGAGCUUAACUCUGGAACUGCCAUCAAAACUUUUUAGCUAGAGUAUGAUAGAGGAAAGCAGAAUUUCUAGUGUAGAGGUGAAAUUCGUAGAUAUUAGAAAGAAUACCAAUUGCGAAGGCAGCUUUCUGGAUCAUUACUGACGCUGAGGAACGAAAGCAUGGGUAGCGAAGAGGAUUAGAUACCCUCGUAGUCCAUGCCGUAAACGAUGUGUGUUAGACGUUGGAAAUUUAUUUUCAGUGUCGCAGCGAAAGCAAUAAACACACCGCCUGGGGAGUACGACCGCAAGGUUAAAACUCAAAUGAAUUGACGGGGACCCGCACAAGUAGUGGAGCAUGUGGUUUAAUUCGAAGAUACGCGCAGAACCUUACCAACACUUGACAUGUUCGUCGCGACUUUAA
RNAcentral lists this ribosomal RNA (900 nucleotides) under uncultured marine bacterium. Its description in RNAcentral is "bacterial SSU rRNA". It matches the Rfam family "Bacterial small subunit ribosomal RNA", at positions 56 to 1004 of the family's 1533-position model. The record is from RNAcentral.